RNAcentral lists this ribosomal RNA (465 nucleotides) under uncultured bacterium. RNAcentral describes it as "partial 16S ribosomal RNA". It matches the Rfam family "Bacterial small subunit ribosomal RNA", at positions 28 to 507 of the family's 1533-position model. The record is from RNAcentral.
GACGAACGCUGGCGGCGUGCUUAACACAUGCAAGUCGAACGGAAAGGCCCUGCUUUCAGGGUACUCGAGUGGCGAACGCGUGAGUAACACGUGGGUGAUCUGCCCUGCACUUCGGGAUAAGCCUGGGAAACUGGGUCUAAUACCGGAUAUGACCUUCCAUGUAGUGUGGGGGGUGGAAAGAUUUAUCGGUGUGGGAUGAGCCCGCGGCCUAUCAGCUUGUUGGUGGGGUAAUGGCCUACCAAGGCGUCGACGGGUAGCCGGCCUGAGAGGGUGGACGGCCACAUUGGGACUGAGAUACGGCCCAGACUCCUACGGGAGGCAGCAGUGGGGAAUAUUGCACAAUGGGCGGAAGCCUGAUGAAGCGACGCCGCGUGGGGGAUGACGGCCUUCGGGUUGUAAACCUCUUUCGACAGGGACGAAGCUUCGGUGACGGUACCUGUAUAAGAAGCACCGGCUAACUACGUG